This 253-nucleotide ribosomal RNA is filed under the name uncultured bacterium. RNAcentral describes it as "partial 16S ribosomal RNA". It matches the Rfam family "Bacterial small subunit ribosomal RNA", at positions 524 to 776 of the family's 1533-position model. The record is from RNAcentral.
UACGGAGGGUGCAAGCAUUGAUCGGAAUUACUGGGCGUAAAGGGCGCGUAGGCGGCUAGGAAAGUCAGAUGUGAAAUUCCGGAGCUCAACUCCGGAGCGGCAUUUGAAACUUCCUGACUAGAGUGCAGUUAGGGAAAACGGAAUUCCACGUGUAGCGGUGAAAUGCGUAGAUAUGUGGAAGAACACCGGUGGUGAAGACGGUUUUCUGGGCUGAAACUGACGCUGAGGCGCGAAAGCAAGGGGAGCAAACAGG